This 497-nucleotide ribosomal RNA is filed under the name uncultured bacterium. RNAcentral's name for it is "partial 16S ribosomal RNA". It matches the Rfam family "Bacterial small subunit ribosomal RNA", at positions 28 to 507 of the family's 1533-position model. The record is from RNAcentral.
GAUGAACGCUGGCGGCGUGCCUAAUACAUGCAAGUCGAGCGAACGGACGAGAAGCUUGCUUCUCUGAUGUUAGCGGCGGACGGGUGAGUAACACGUGGAUAACCUACCUAUAAGACUGUGAUAACUUCGGGAAACCGUAGCUAAUACCGGAUAAUAUUUUGAACCGCAUGGUUCAAAAGUGAAAGACGUUCUUGCUGUCACUUAUAGAUUGAUCCGCGCUGCAUUAGCUAGUUGGUAAGGUAACGGCUUACCAAGGCAACGAUGCAUAUCCGACCUGAGAGGGGGAUCGGCCAAAAGGGAAAUGAGACACGGUCAAGACGCCUACGGGAGGAAGCAGUAGGGAAUAUUCCGAAAGGGGCGAAAGCAUGACGGAGAAACGCCGCGUGAGUGAUGAAGGUCUUCGGAUCGUAAAACUCUGUUAUUAGGGAAGAACAUAUGUGUAAGUAACUGUGCACAUCUUGACGGUACCUAAUCAGAAAGCCACGGCUAACUACGUG